Molecule: ribosomal RNA, 257 nt
Filed under: uncultured bacterium
Lineage: Bacteria
Description: partial 16S ribosomal RNA
Rfam family: Bacterial small subunit ribosomal RNA
Source: RNAcentral
GCAAGUCGAGGGGUAACGAUUAAAUAGCUUGCUAUUUAAGGCGACGACCGGCGCACGGGUGAGUAACGCGUAUGCAACCUACCUUUAACAGGAAGAUAGCCCCGAGAAAUCGGGAUUAAUACUCCAUAAUAAUAAGAGAUCGCAUGAUUUUUUAUUUAAAGCUCCGGCGGUUAAAGAUGGGCAUGCGUGACAUUAGUUAGUUGGUGAGGUAACGGCUCACCAAGACAACGAUGUCUAGGGGUUCUGAGAGGAUUGUC